GCAAUUGGCAAGUUGAAGCAAUUUAGUCCUACAAUCACUAAAGCCAAGGAGAUGACAAUUUUUCUCUAUGCACAUCAUAAAACAUUGUCCUUGAUGAGGUCUUUUACAAAAAAGAGAGACAUUGUUAGACCGGGAGUGACGAGAUUUGCUUCUGCAUUUCUUACCUUGCAAAGUAUUAUUGCUAAGAAGAAGGAACUAAGGGCAAUUGUUUGUAGUGAUGAAUGGGAAGCAUGUAAGCACACAAGAACAAGGAAAGGAAAGUCAGCUCAUAACACAAUAAUGAGUAGGGGUUUUUGGAAAGGUGACUCUCUUUGCAUCAAGGUUUUUGAACCAUUGGUGAAGGUGCUUCGGUUGGCUGAUGGUGAUGGUCCAUCAAUGGCCACUAUGUAUGGGGAAAUAGUAAGUGCAAAGAAGGAUAUCAUGCUUGCUGUUGAAAAUUCAGAAAAGGACUAUUUGGUGAUCACUAAUGCCAUGGAUGGCAAGAUGGGAGGGAGGCUGGAUUCUCCAUUACACAUGGCAGCAUAUAUGUUGAAUCCCAAAUAUAGUUAUGUUAAUUCAAGCAUCUUCAUGGAUGUAGAGGUUGUGGCUGCGUUUAUGGAAGUAAUGGAGACCUUUUAU
RNAcentral lists this ribosomal RNA (618 nucleotides) under Triticum aestivum (bread wheat). Its description in RNAcentral is "partial small subunit ribosomal RNA". The record is from RNAcentral. Lineage: Eukaryota; Viridiplantae; Streptophyta; Magnoliopsida; Poales; Poaceae.